AUCUUAACCUUUAUUAAUUUAAUUAAACUACAAAACAUACAUGCACUUUCACAAUUUAACGUAAUUUAAUAACAAAAUAAUUAAUACAUAUCAAAUCAAAUAUAUUAUACUUACAAAUUUGCUGAAAUUUCGGCAGAGUUUUUCCUAAAAAAUUGGACAUUUAUCAAAUUUUAACAAAAUACAACCUGCACAAAAUUGUUAUCCUGGCCUGCAUAUUUACUCAUGCAUCUUCUACCUCAACAAGAAAACCACAUAAAAAUAAAAAUAAAAUAAAUAAAAGGAAAGAGUUAAACCUCCAAAGCAUCAAUCUCUUCCA
Molecule: unclassified non-coding RNA, 316 nt
Filed under: Hevea brasiliensis (rubber tree)
Lineage: Eukaryota; Viridiplantae; Streptophyta; Magnoliopsida; Malpighiales; Euphorbiaceae
Source: RNAcentral